AUUGAACGCUGGCGGCAGGCCUAACACAUGCAAGUCGAACGGUAACAGGAAGCAGCUUGCUGCUUUGCUGACGAGUGGCGGACGGGUGAGUAAUGUAUGUGAAACUGCCCGAUGGAGGGGGAUAACUACUGGAAACGGUAGCUAAUACCGCAUAACGUCGCAAGACCAAAAAGGGGGACCUUAGGGCCCCUUGCCAUCGGAUGUGCCCAGAUGGGAUUAGCUAGUGGGUGGGGUAAAGGCUCACCUAGGCGACGAUCCCUAGCUGGUCUGAGAGGAUGACCAGCCACACUGGAACUGAGACACGGUCCAGACUCCUACGGGAGGCAGCAGUGGGGAAUAUUGGACAAUGGGCGCAAGCCUGAUGCAGCCAUGCCGCGUGGAUGAAGAAGGCCUUCGGGUUGUAAAGUACUUUCGGCGGGGAGGAAGGGAGUAAAGUUAAUACCUUUGCUCAUUGACGUUACCCGCAGAAGAAGCACCGGCUAACUCCGUG
Molecule: ribosomal RNA, 490 nt
Filed under: uncultured bacterium
Lineage: Bacteria
Description: partial 16S ribosomal RNA
Rfam family: Bacterial small subunit ribosomal RNA
Source: RNAcentral